RNAcentral lists this unclassified non-coding RNA (861 nucleotides) under uncultured Synechococcus sp. Its description in RNAcentral is "partial may contain 16S ribosomal RNA, 16S-23S ribosomal RNA intergenic spacer, and 23S ribosomal RNA". The stretch from base 346 to 418 matches the Rfam family "tRNA". Lineage: Bacteria; Bacillati; Cyanobacteriota; Cyanophyceae; Synechococcales; Synechococcaceae. The record is from RNAcentral.
GUCGAAGGUGGGGCUGAUGACUGGGGUGAAGUCGUAACAAGGUAUCCGUACCGGAAGGUGCGGAUGGAUCACCUCCUAACAGGGAGACAAACAACGAUUUUGAUGCCUGAGUGUUUUUAUUCUUAGGCCGAAAUCCUGUCACCUUAGGUCGAUCGGUACCUCAGAUUUGAAAUCAAGAUAAUGCAGCAAUGUGUCGUGCUUGAUGGAGAUUUUCAGUUCCUAAACUUUGUCUAGGUCACACCCCAAAAGGGAUGAGACUCCUGGGCCAUUAGCUCAGGUGGUUAGAGCGCACCCCUGAUAAGGGUGAGGUCCCUGGUUCAAGUCCAGGAUGGCCCAUUCGGUGUUGGGGGUUUAGCUCAGUUGGUAGAGCGCCUGCUUUGCAAGCAGGAUGUCAGGAGUUCGAGUCUCCUAACCUCCACUGACCGAACUUUAUCCCCAUCUCCAAAUUGUUGGAGUUGAGCUCGAUUGGAGUGUGAUUUAGAUGUGUCCGCUGGAUGACCCCAGCUUCCUGUCAUUCCAAGUUUAAAAGUGAAAGCUUUGAAUUUGGUUGAUAAGAUGCUGGGCUCGAACUGAGCAAUCAGUUUGAAGUUCUAGCAGAACCUUGACAACUGCAUAGGUGAAGUCUGGAAAAACAAAGCAUCUUACAGAUGCAUUGUUUUGAGUCUAAUUUUUCGAAAGAGAGAUUAGAACCAGAACAAUGAAAAUUCUUUUGAGCAAGAGCCGAGACUCUUGAAUGUUCUUUGAUUCGUGUCGAGCGAAUCAGAGUUUGAUCUUGUUUUUAGUAAUAAAAACUUGAGAAUCUGCUUUCAACGGCGGUAAGCGUUCAAGAGGUUAAUUGGUCAAGCUACAAAGGGCUCACGG